CCGGCGCACGGGUGAGUAACACGUAUGGAACCUGCCCUAUGCAGGGGGAUAAGCGGAAGAAAUUCCGUCUAAUACCGCAUAACACCAUUUGGAGACAUCUCCAGGGGGUCAAAGGAGGCGACUCCGGCAUAGGAUAGCCAUGCGUCGCAUUAGCUAGUCGGCGGGGUAACGGCCCACCGAGGCGACGAUGCGUAGGGGUUCUGAGAGGAAGGUCCCCCACACUGGUACUGAGACACGGACCAGACUCCUACGGAAGGCAGCAG
RNAcentral lists this ribosomal RNA (263 nucleotides) under uncultured bacterium. RNAcentral describes it as "partial 16S ribosomal RNA". It matches the Rfam family "Bacterial small subunit ribosomal RNA", at positions 95 to 354 of the family's 1533-position model. The record is from RNAcentral.